UACAGAGGGUGCGAGCGUUAAUCGGAAUUACUGGGCGUAAAGCGUGCGUAGACGGUUAUCUAAGUCGGAUGUGAAAGCCCCGGGCUCAACCUGGGAAUUGCAUUCGAGACUGAAUAGCUAGGGUACGGUAGAGGGAAGUGGAAUUUCCGGUGUAGCGGUGAAAUGCGUAGAUAUCGGGAGGAACACCAGCGGCGAAGGCGGCUUUCUGGACCAAUACUGACGCUGAGACGCGAAAGCGUGGGGAGCAAACAGG
RNAcentral lists this ribosomal RNA (253 nucleotides) under uncultured bacterium. RNAcentral describes it as "partial 16S ribosomal RNA". It matches the Rfam family "Bacterial small subunit ribosomal RNA", at positions 524 to 776 of the family's 1533-position model. The record is from RNAcentral.